GAGUUUGAUCAUGGCUCAGAUUGAACGCUGGCGGCAUGCCUUACACAUGCAAGUCGAACGGCAGCACGGGAGCUUGCUCCUGGUGGCGAGUGGCGAACGGGUGAGUAAUGCAUCGGAACGUAUCCUGGAGUGGGGGAUAACGUAGCGAAAGUUACGCUGAUACCGCAUAUUCUGUGAGCAGGAAAGCGGGGGACCUUCGGGCCUCGCGCUCUUGGAGCGGCCGAUGUCGGAUUAGCUAGUUGGUGAGGUAAAGGCUCACCAAGGCGACGAUCCGUAGCAGGUCUGAGAGGAUGAUCUGCCACACUGGAACUGAGACACGGUCCAGACUCCUACGGGAGGCAGCAGUGGGGAAUUUUGGACAAUGGGGGCAACCCUGAUCCAGCCAUGCCGCGUGAGUGAAGAAGGCC
This 407-nucleotide ribosomal RNA is filed under the name bacterium enrichment culture clone ALO1_GLFRUDD03HIJ76. Its description in RNAcentral is "bacterial SSU rRNA". It matches the Rfam family "Bacterial small subunit ribosomal RNA", at positions 9 to 416 of the family's 1533-position model. The record is from RNAcentral.